UGGGGAAUAUUGGACAAUGGGGGCAACCCUGAUCCAGCGAUGCCGCGUGUGUGAAGAAGGCCUACGGGUUGUAAAGCACUUUCGGUGGGGAGGAGGACGAUUAGGUUAAGAGCUAGAUUGUUGGACGUUACCCACAUAAGAAGCACCGGCUAACUCCGUGCCAGCAGCCGCGGUAAUACGGAGGGUGCGAGCGUUAAUCGGAAUUACUGGGCGUAAAGGGUGCGUAGGCGGUUUGAUAAGUUAAGUGUGAAAGUCCUGGGCUCAACCUAGGGAAGUCACUUAAGACUGUCAGACUGGAGUAUAGGAGAGGGCAGUGGAAUUUCCGGUGUAGCGGUGAAAUGCGUAGAUAUCGGAAGGAACACCAGUGGCGAAGGCGGCUGCCUGGCCUAAUACUGACGCU
Molecule: ribosomal RNA, 400 nt
Filed under: uncultured bacterium
Lineage: Bacteria
Description: bacterial SSU rRNA
Rfam family: Bacterial small subunit ribosomal RNA
Source: RNAcentral